GGAUGCGAUCAUACCAGCACUGACACAACAGAUCCCGUCCGAACUCUGAAGUUAAGCAUGCUCGGGCUAGAGUAGUACUAGGAUGGGUGGCCCCCUGAGAAGUCCUCGUGUUGCUUUCC
This is a ribosomal RNA of Lycium barbarum (goji berry), 119 nucleotides long. NCBI's taxonomy places the organism in Eukaryota, Viridiplantae, Streptophyta, Magnoliopsida, Solanales, Solanaceae. The record is from RefSeq and is a predicted model, not a curated record.